Molecule: long non-coding RNA, 616 nt
Organism: Armigeres subalbatus
Lineage: Eukaryota; Metazoa; Arthropoda; Insecta; Diptera; Culicidae
Exons: 3
Source: RefSeq, a predicted model, not a curated record
UUCAUUUUCGAAACAAAUUUAAGGUAAACCGUAUAUGGGAAUUUCAGUUCAUAAAAUCAAUAUGGUUCUCGAUAUGGACACUAGAGGGACUGUCAAAAUCAUUAUACAAUACAAAUGAAUUACCAAUACUUAUAAAAUAUAGACUUCUUGCUAGCAUGAUUGAACUAAUUCUUUCUUUCUGGCUCAAGACUUCAAGAAAGUUAGAAGUGCGCGGCGCGUGUUAAAAGUCGAGUUAUAGUUAUUCCUUAAAAGCUAAUUGUUAAAAAGCUUAAAAUAAAGUGUUAGUAGUGCAGUUAGUAAAUUAUUAAAGGGUGCUGUGUGGCUAAUAAAAGCGGUUCGCAUUCCAAGGGAAUUGCGUGCAAUUGAACCUAGUGGAAAAAGGUAAAUGGAUCAAAAUGACUGUAAAAGUCGUCGAAUGAAAUCUUAUCAGGUCACUAAUAUCAACCUGAACAGGCCUAACGAGGCCUUUUUCCAUUUGUUUAGGCCAGUCGUCUGGAUUUCCGGGAGAAACUGGUCCCAAACGCCCAACUUGCAUCUAUUUGGAAUUUUCCAGAACAAAUCAAAUCCCUGAGCCAGAAAUCUGCCCUGCUGGUACUCCUUUGGGGUAAAUCGCAGA